GAAAUGCGAUAAUUAAUGUGAAUUGCAGAAUUCAGUGAAUCAUCGAGUCUUUGAACUCACAUUGCGCCCCCUGGUAUUCCGGGGGGCAUGCCUGUCCGAGCGUCAUUGCUGCCCUCAAGCACGGCUUGUGUGUUGGGCUUCCGUCCCUGGCAACGGGGACGGGCCCAAAAGGCAGUGGCGGCACCAUGUCUGGUCCUCGAGCGUAUGGGGCUUUGUCACCCGCUCCCGUAGGUCCAGCUGGCAGCUAGCCUCGCAACCAAUCUUUUUAACCAGGUUGACCUCGGAUCAGGUAGGGAUACCCGCUGAACUUAAGC
This 314-nucleotide unclassified non-coding RNA is filed under the name plant metagenome. Its description in RNAcentral is "partial contains 5.8S ribosomal RNA, internal transcribed spacer 2, and large subunit ribosomal RNA". The stretch from base 1 to 105 matches the Rfam family "5.8S ribosomal RNA", at positions 50 to 154 of the family's 154-position model. The record is from RNAcentral.